GUCUACGGCCAUACCACCCUGAACGCGCCCCAUCUCAUCUGAUCUCAGAAGCUAAGCAGGGUCGGGCCUGGUUAGUACUUGGAUGGGAGGUGGGAAGGGUGGACGCUGAGGGUA
This 114-nucleotide ribosomal RNA is filed under the name Felis catus (domestic cat). The record is from RNAcentral. Lineage: Eukaryota; Metazoa; Chordata; Mammalia; Carnivora; Felidae.